CAACUUUCAACAACGGAUCUCUUGGCUCUCGCAUCGAUGAAGAACGCAGCGAAAUGCGAUAAGUAAUGUGAAUUGCAGAAUUCAGUGAAUCAUCGAAUCUUUGAACGCACCUUGCGCCCUUUGGUAUUCCGAAGGGCAUGCCUGUUUGAGUGUCAUUA
RNAcentral lists this ribosomal RNA (158 nucleotides) under Pleurotus calyptratus. RNAcentral describes it as "5.8S ribosomal RNA". It matches the Rfam family "5.8S ribosomal RNA". Rfam says of the family: 5.8S ribosomal RNA (5.8S rRNA) is a component of the large subunit of the eukaryotic ribosome. It is transcribed by RNA polymerase I as part of the 45S precursor that also contains 18S and 28S rRNA. Functionally, it is thought that 5.8S rRNA may be involved in ribosome translocation. The record is from RNAcentral. Lineage: Eukaryota; Fungi; Basidiomycota; Agaricomycetes; Agaricales; Pleurotaceae. RNAcentral also lists the same sequence under 6 other names.